UGCAUCUGAAGCCUGACGAGGAUGAGAACCUCCGGGGGCAAGAGGUUCGACUUGAGCGCAGCGAGAGAACGUUGCGUCAGCAACGGCCCGCAGGGCGAGCCACGCAGUGGCGAGUCAUCCUCUAUCACCGACCA
This 134-nucleotide small RNA is filed under the name Salmonella enterica. RNAcentral describes it as "RtT sRNA". It matches the Rfam family "RtT RNA". Rfam says of the family: This family represents a bacterial cis-regulatory element known as RtT RNA. The exact function of RtT is unknown although it is thought that it may be involved in changing the cellular response in relation to amino acid starvation. The record is from RNAcentral. RNAcentral also lists the same sequence under 2 other names. Lineage: Bacteria; Pseudomonadati; Pseudomonadota; Gammaproteobacteria; Enterobacterales; Enterobacteriaceae.